Long non-coding RNA from Terrapene triunguis (Three-toed box turtle), 343 nucleotides. RefSeq lists it as uncharacterized. NCBI's taxonomy places the organism in Eukaryota, Metazoa, Chordata, Testudines, Emydidae. The transcript has 3 exons. The record is from RefSeq and is a predicted model, not a curated record.
CCAGCUAUUAAACCCUGGGGGUUAUUCAACUGGUGAAAGGUUUGAAGACAGGCAAAAAGCUGUCUGCAGAAUUUCCCUGCUUCAAUCAAAAGCAAAUGCUGUGCCCUGAUGGGGAUUCUCAAUCCAUCAAAAGUGGUUUUCGCUGUCAGAAAAGCACUUUUGAGCAAUGCAUCUGAAAAUAAGUGUCCUUGAUCCAUCUGGAAAUGUGAGUCUCCAGAUCCAGUCUUCAGAAAGCAUCACUGAACCAAUGCUUUCUCCUUGCAGAUGUGGACCUUGAGAUGAAUUCUGAAGGCAAAGAAUGAUAUCCUCCCUUGAGACCUUUGGAUGAAAUGCAUGAUGUUAU